ACCCCCAGACUCUUGAUCCUUGGUCUAUUUAUAGGCCAAGGAUUAGGGUUCGGGGGUGCGUACCUGGAUCCUGGUCCUACACGUGUAGGGGUUUGAUCCCCUACACGUGUCCAGGUGUCGGCGUAGAAGUAGUCUUUUGGAAUGUUCCCUGGCUUGUCUCUAUCGCCAGUAGUUGACCGUUAUAUUUGUCUUCAUCGUGUCAGUCUGUGCCUUGUGCAGCAAGUGUCGGCUGGUACAGGUUUGGACCCCGGUCAAGGAGUAUGAUCCGGAUAUACGCCUGGUGUACCCGGGUCCUGUACCUUAUCCGGACGGCGUACUCUGGUAGGGUUGGUGGAUUGUACCCUACUCCUGGUGGCUUCCCGGGGAUCGGGGUCUUUGAGUAGGCCCGGGUUUGUGAACCCGGGUUACCCCUAUCAUUUGCCCCCCACUCCCUUAUAUAGAUUCUCUAUGUGAGGGAGUAGAGUGAAGUUUCCGCUUUUGUUUGAGUGGAUGAUCCGGAUAUACGCCUGGUGUACCCGGGUCCUGUACCUUAUCCGGACGGCGUACUCUGGUAGGGUUGGUGGAUUGUACCCUACUCCUGGUGGCUUCCCGGGGAUCGGGGUCUUUGAGUAGGCCCGGGUUUGUGAACCCGGGUUACCCCUAUCAUUUGCCCCCCACUCCCUUAUAUAGAUUCUCUAUGUGAGGGAGUAGAGUGAAGUUUCCGCUUUUGUUUGAGUGGGCCCGGGUAGAUGUGAAGUUUUGAUGUUUGCCCCCCUGUCCGGGUAGAUCCGGGUAAGGGUGGAGGUUUGUCGGUGUCGCUUUGCUCGGGUAGACCCGGGGGUUUGUUUUGCUUUUCUGCCAGGGAGAGUCCGGGUCCUUAGGGAGAUCCGUCCGGGUUGUCCCGUGAGAAUGAAGCGUUUUCGGUACGCUGGAAUUUCGAGGGGUUUUGUAACCGCAUCCAACGCUUUGGAAUUUGAAUCGUCGCGGCUUUUGAGGAGGCGUUUAAUUAUUACAGCAGUAAUAAUUAAAACUGAA
Molecule: long non-coding RNA, 1014 nt
Filed under: Daucus carota (carrot)
Lineage: Eukaryota; Viridiplantae; Streptophyta; Magnoliopsida; Apiales; Apiaceae
Description: long non-coding RNA (DCAR_LNC005941)
Source: RNAcentral